Molecule: non-coding RNA, 76 nt
Filed under: Candidatus Omnitrophota bacterium
Lineage: Bacteria; Pseudomonadati; Candidatus Omnitrophota
Source: RNAcentral
UAAUAAGGCGGUCGUGAUUUGUGGAAUGCUUGCGGCGACCAUAAACAAACAGCUAAAACGCCGAGUGGUUUUCCCG